UUUGACAUGUAUCUGCAUAUCUUUGGAAACAUAGAUAGCCUUCGAGGGUGAUACACAGGUACUGCAUGGCCGUCGUCAGCUCGUGUCGUGAGAUGUAGGGUUAAGUCCCGAAACGAGCGCAACCCCUAUCCCAUGUUACAAGUGUCUUGGGAAACUGCCUCGGUAAAACGAGGAGGAAGGUGGGGAUGACGUCUGGUCCGCAUAGUCCUUAUGUCCUGGGCUACACACGCGCUACAAUGGUCGGUACAAUGGGCAGCCAAGCCGUAAGGCGGAGCUAAUCCUGUAAAACCGAUCUCAGUUCGGAUUGUGGGCUGAAACUCGCCCACAUGAAGUUGGAUUCGCUAGUAAUCGUGGAUCAGCCAUGCCACGGUGAAUACGUUCCCGGGUCUU
Molecule: ribosomal RNA, 390 nt
Filed under: uncultured candidate division WS6 bacterium
Lineage: Bacteria
Description: bacterial SSU rRNA
Rfam family: Bacterial small subunit ribosomal RNA
Source: RNAcentral